UACGAAGGGAGCUAGCGUUGUUCGGAAUCACUGGGCGUAAAGCGCACGUAGGCGGAUUUGUCAGUCAGGGGUGAAAUCCCGGGGCUCAACCUCGGAACUGCCUUUGAUACAGCAAGUCUUGAGUUCGAGAGAGGUGGGUGGAAUUCCUAGUGUAGAGGUGAAAUUCGUAGAUAUUAGGAGGAACACCAGUGGCGAAGGCGGCUCACUGGACCGGUUCUGACGCUGAGGCGCGAAAGCGUGGGGAGCAAACGGG
RNAcentral lists this ribosomal RNA (253 nucleotides) under uncultured bacterium. RNAcentral's name for it is "partial 16S ribosomal RNA". It matches the Rfam family "Bacterial small subunit ribosomal RNA", at positions 524 to 776 of the family's 1533-position model. The record is from RNAcentral.